UGACUGCUUCAUAAAGUGGAACAAGUUUGUGUUUUAAUGAUGUACAAGGAGGGGCUCGGCAAGGACGGUGGCUGGGCGCGGGGCUGGCUGGUGUGGUUCUCAACUUCACGGCGGCAGCAGCUAACAACACUUGAACCAAUGAUCACUGGAUUGCAAGAAUCAUUGCCAAAGUCCAUUGGAUUGCUUCCUUUUUAUGGAGGUGUGGCAGAUGCUGAACAGAGAGAAGUAGAUACCUGGCACUUCAUGUAAACAGCCCCUUGGCUGGGUUUACUUCCCAGUGCUGAUGGGCAAGUAUUACAUUCUCAAGAUGGUGGAGAUAGUCCAAUUCUCAGUCUCUUUAAAUUAGUCACUACUGCAAUAUUAUCUAAGCCAGGGUGCCCAAAUCCAACCUCUUUCAGUACCCUAUCAAAACAAGCAGAAGCUGCAGAUGUGACAAGCGAAAUAGAAAAUGAUACUUAAUUUUGAAGGCUUUGUGUUGGGCAGCAGUAGAAUAUUUUGUGCUGAAAGUAGUAUCUUUUCAAUAUGUUGAAUAUUUAAGACUACUUGAAUACUUAAAGAACAUUUUGUUGUUGAUGACAGUGUUGAAUGUUUUAAACUAAUUUGUGGAUUGUUAAUACAAUGUUGAAUGUUUUUACUUUUUGUUA
Molecule: long non-coding RNA, 644 nt
Organism: Humulus lupulus (European hop)
Lineage: Eukaryota; Viridiplantae; Streptophyta; Magnoliopsida; Rosales; Cannabaceae
Exons: 4
Source: RefSeq, a predicted model, not a curated record